UACAUACAUAUAUUUUUUACAAUAGAGAGUGCGAUAUUUUUUAAAUAUUUUUUUGACAUGUCCCCUCUGUCCCCCCCAGGAUUUACGCCCAUGAUUACAAUGACAAUGUAACACUUGAUGAAAGAGAAGAAAAGCUGUAUUUCGAUUCCUCUGUAUGUGUGCACAUAUGGUGGCAUUGGCAAAUUAAAACCUUGAACUUUAAAUCUUAAACCUUGAUAGUACAAAAUGCAUACAAACAAUUUACAAGGCUUAACUCUUGGCACUGUUUAUUCACAACAAAGGUAACCACAGCAGAAGUACUCAAGGGAGCCAGGAGUUGACUUGCAUGUUGCUGGGGCAUGCCCUGCAUCUAGCAUACCCUGCCGAGGUCCCUUCUCCACUCCCGAGCACCACCAAGGUCCCCUCUCCGUUCCCGAGCCCCACCAAGCUCCUCUUUUUACUCCUAAACCGAGGCGCCGCUCCGCUCCAGAGCCCUGCCGAGUGCCCCGCCUAGCUCCAGAGCCAUGCUGACUAUGUUGUUCCAUCCCCGGGUUUUGCUGACGAUGUGGUUUCCGCAGAAGGCGUCGCUCCGUCUCAGACCUCUGCAGAGGGGCAUCGGUCCUAGAGGCAGCAACCAGAAGGCCAGAUCCACAAUUCAUCUGGCAUUUCGUCAGCCAUUCUCUUGGAAUAGGUCUUCUUCUCUACUAAUGCCUCUCUUUCGACCUCAUUGAAAGAUUCCCAUGUUGCUGCGUUCUGGCAUGGGGCAUUAAACUGCUUGCCAUUCUGCUCAGAAUUCCGCCUGGUUUUCUUGCUGGUCCAGGCCCCGCCCUGCAUUGGUUGGAUCAGCAUUGAUGUUGGAGUUCUCAGCAAGCAAGCCUGUAGAGAGGGAAAACACUUCUAACUCUGCAUCUCUUACAAUGUCCCUUUAAACCUUCACCCUAUCAUCACACUCUCCACUGAAGAAUGUUGGUUCCUUCACUUUCUCUUCCUUUAUCUCUUCUUCUUUUACUACAGAAGAAAACUUCCUCAUGACCUCUGUCCAAAAAAGAGAAAAAUAAUGGCCUUCAACAUAUUCUUAGAGUGUAAGGCCAUUUUCAGAACAUGUUGAUAAUGAUUGAGAUUAUGAAAACAAUGAAAGCACAGCUUCCUGAAUUUUGUAUUUUUUAGGUUGUAUUCUAUUUUUGUCUCCUGAUUACUUUGAUGAAUGGUUUGUGAGAAGUGAUGGAUGGCAAAAAUGCAUGGCAAAAGAGACACAUAUUUCUUUGUAGGCCAGUGCAGAAUAUAUGUUCUCACUGGUUUCAUUUAUAAGACGUGAUUUUACCUGUGAUCACAGUAUUCACAUGAUGUCAUGUGUGUUUACUUGGAAUUAAAUUUCAGGGCAUUGCAUUGCCCUGUGAUCACAUUAUUUACCAAAUCAUAUAUGAUUUCUGAAUAUAAAGAUUCUAUGAGGACACCAGUCA
Molecule: long non-coding RNA, 1439 nt
Organism: Silurus meridionalis
Lineage: Eukaryota; Metazoa; Chordata; Actinopteri; Siluriformes; Siluridae
Exons: 3
Source: RefSeq, a predicted model, not a curated record